This 518-nucleotide ribosomal RNA is filed under the name uncultured bacterium. RNAcentral's name for it is "partial 16S ribosomal RNA". It matches the Rfam family "Bacterial small subunit ribosomal RNA", at positions 28 to 523 of the family's 1533-position model. The record is from RNAcentral.
GACGAACGCUGGCGGCGUGCUUAACACAUGCAAGUCGAACGGAGAAUUUAUUUCGGUAAAUUCUUAGUGGCGAACGGGUGAGUAACGCGUGGGCAACCUGCCCUUCAGAUGGGGACAACAUCCCGAAAGGGGUGCUAAUACCGAAUACGAUCACGCUGCCGCAUGGCGGAGUGAUGAAAGAUGGCCUCUAUAUAUAAGCUAUCGCUGAAGGAUGGGCCUGCGUCUGAUUAGCUAGUUGGUGGGGUAACGGCCUACCAAGGCGAUGAGCAGUAGCCGGUCUGGGAGGAUGAACGGCCACAUUGGGACUGAGACACGGCCCAAACGCCUACGGGAGGCAGCAGUGGGGAAUAUUCCGCAAUGGACGAAAGUCUGACGGAGCAACGCCGCGUGAGUGAUGAAGGUUUUCGGACUGUAAAACUCUGUUGUUUAGGACGAAAGUGCCUGUUGCAAAUAGUUGCAGGUAUUGACGGUACUGAACGAGGAAGCCACGGCUAACUACGUGCCAGCCGCCGCGGUAA